Molecule: unclassified non-coding RNA, 243 nt
Filed under: Hevea brasiliensis (rubber tree)
Lineage: Eukaryota; Viridiplantae; Streptophyta; Magnoliopsida; Malpighiales; Euphorbiaceae
Source: RNAcentral
GUGGAUAUUUGGGCAGCCUAAAGCAGGAGUUCAUGAAAAAGAGGAAGAAGGGGAAAUUACCUAAAGAAGCAAGGCAGCAGUUACUGGAUUGGUGGAGCAGACAUUACAAAUGGCCUUAUCCAUCGGAAUCACAAAAGCUAGCCUUAGCAGAAUCUACUGGUCUGGAUCAGAAGCAAAUUAAUAACUGGUUCAUUAACCAAAGGAAGCGACACUGGAAACCAUCUGAGGAUAUGCAGUUUGUGG